GACGAACGCUGGCGGCGUGCUUAACACAUGCAAGUCGAACGGAAAGGCCCUGCCUUUGUGGGGUGCUCGAGUGGCGAACGGGUGAGUAACACGUGAGUAACGCGCCCUUGACUUUGGGAUAACUUCAGGAAACUGGGGCUAAUACCGGAUAGGAGCUCCUGCUGCAUGGUGGGGGUUGGAAAGUUUCGGAGGUUGGGGAUGGACUGGCGGCUGAUCAGCUUGUUGGUGGGGUAGUGGCUUACCAAGGCUUUGACGGGUAGCCGGCCUGGGAGGGUGACCGGCAACAUUGGGACUGAGAUAGGGCCACGGCUCCUACGGGAGGCAGCAGUGGGAGUGAUUGAAAAAUGGGCGGAAGCCUAAUGCAGCAACACCGCGGGCGGGAUGACGGCCUUCGGGUUAUAGACCGAUUUCGCCUGUAACGAAGAGUAAGUGACGGUAAUGGGUAGAGAAGCACCGGCUAACUACGUG
RNAcentral lists this ribosomal RNA (468 nucleotides) under uncultured bacterium. RNAcentral describes it as "partial 16S ribosomal RNA". It matches the Rfam family "Bacterial small subunit ribosomal RNA", at positions 28 to 507 of the family's 1533-position model. The record is from RNAcentral.